This 1054-nucleotide long non-coding RNA is filed under the name Homo sapiens (human). RNAcentral describes it as "HSALNT0191486". The record is from RNAcentral. Lineage: Eukaryota; Metazoa; Chordata; Mammalia; Primates; Hominidae.
ACUCAGUGGUGAAGGCUGUGCGGACACUGGGGGCCCGCCAGGGGUUUGGCCCCUUACUCAACCCAACCACGGUCCUCUCCGGCGCAGGCCGAUUUGAGGACCUAGACUCCUUGAUGCUGACGGCCUGAGGGGGCUCCCGGGUGCCGGAUAUCUGACACAGGCCAGGGAGGCUCCCCUGGGAGACCUGGCAGGCCUGGAGGUGUGAGUCGGCUCUGAGCAGCUGCUCUGGGAGAGCCAGUCCACGGAGCCAAAGCUGGAGGGCAGCUGCCGGCCACAAGUUGGGGAGGAGGAGAGACGCAAGGCCGUCAGAUGCUUGUCCUGGAAACCAACCAUGAGCUGUGAUGAAAUCCAGGCAACUGAGUUGUGUUUCAGCCCAAAGCAGCAAAUGGAAUCCAGCUUCAGGACCAUCAUCUGACAUAGGGGAAGAAGACUUACAUAGAAGGCCUAACCAGCACCCAAGAUCAGUAAUGAUUAAAGGGUAAAUUAACCAGGAAGACAUAGCAACUGUGGCUCAUAGGUGGAGGAGACUUGCUUUGUCUCAGAUGAGACUUUGGACUGUGGACUUUUGAGUUAAUGCUGAAAUGAGUUGAGACUUUGGGGAACUGUUGGGAAGGCAUGAUUGGUUUUAAAUAUGAAUAUAUGAGAUUUGGGAGGGGGUCAGGGGUGGAAUGAUAUGGUUUGGCUCUGUGUCCCCACCCAAAUCUCAUCUUGUAGCUCCCAUAAUCCUCCCAUGUUGUGGGAGGGACCCAGUGGGAGAUGAUUGAAUCAUGAGGGCGGGUCUUUCUCAUGCUGUUCAUGAUCCCAUUCAUGUGAGAAAGACCCAUGUGAUCAUGAAUGGGUCUCACAAGAUCUGAUGGUGUUAAAAAUGGGAGUUUCUCUGCACAAGCUCUCUGCCUGCUGCCAUUCACAAAGGAUGUGACUUGCUUCUCCUUGCCUUCUGCUAUGAUUGUGAGGCCUCCCUAGCCAUGUGGAACUGUGAGUCCAAUUAAACCUCUUUCUUUUGUAAAUUGGGCUGGUGUCAGAGAAGGCUGAAUUGGGUACCAAGACAUUCCUU